Emys orbicularis (European pond turtle) is the source of this 1625-nucleotide RNA transcript. It is a transcript of the gene named Bet1 golgi vesicular membrane trafficking protein like, with no coding region annotated. Lineage: Eukaryota; Metazoa; Chordata; Testudines; Emydidae. The transcript has 5 exons. The record is from RefSeq and is a predicted model, not a curated record.
GCUCGCCAGCGGCCGAAGCCGGAUACGGAGGCACCGAGACGGGACGCGGCCAUGGCGGACUGGGGCCGAGGUCAGAGUCCAAAUGCUGUGGACGAUAUGCUAGAUGUGGAGAAUAAGCGUAUGGCGGACAAUCUAGCCACCAAGGUCACCAGGCUGAAAUCGCUGGCACUGGAUAUUGACAAAGAUGCUGAGGAUCAAAACCGCUAUCUGGAUGGCACGGACUCAGAUUUCAUGAGUGUGACAGGCCUGCUGACGGGGAGUGUGAAGCGUUUCUCCACCAUGACACGCUCGGGAAGGGAUAAUCGCAAACUGCUUUGUUACGUUUCUGCUGGACUGGUGGUUGUCUUUUUCAUCCUCUAUUAUCUGGUCUCAAAAGCACGGACUUGAGUGGGGUCCUCAUGCUGGAAUUUUUAUGGAAAGAAAAACUUUGGUCAUGAUAAACAGAGACUUGCUCAAGGUUAUCCUCAAUCUACCCUUUCAAGAAUUGUUGGGAUAUUCCUGGAGGACCUCUCUGGACUCCAGGUUACUGUCACUUUUCUAAUCAGUCUUGGAGAGAUUCAUCAAUUAUUUUCAUAAAAUGAAUAUAGUUCAUUUUGAUCUUUUUAAAUUACAUCACCUGGUAGGUACGCUGCAUGUCACUGGGUGACUGUCUGGAAUACAUACCUGAGCAAGUAUUGUCUAUUGUUUGUGAAGCCAUCACUCCAGAGCUUGCAGCACUUUGAGAUACAGUAUGUACCCUGUUCUCUGAUGAUUCUACAUAAUUCUGUGCAUUAGAAUGCUGUGUGGAUGAAGGAUGUUUAUGAUCUUUCAGCACUACAUCUUUAUUCUGUACUGUAUGCUGGUUAAGAAUGCUCAUUCCAAAUCACCCUUCUCUCCCUUUCAUUGACCUUGUCGCUUCCCCUCUCAUUCCAACCCAAGUAUGUUCUCCCAUCUGAAUUAUUUAUAUCUGCCUCCAGUUAUAAUAAACCAUUCUAAAAAUACUGCUAUUGUUUAAAAAAAAUACCCAAAACUCUACACGUUAUUUUAAAAGGCUCUUAUGGUACAAAAUAACUCUACCAUAAUUGUUUUGUAGUGUGUAUUAUUUGUUCCAAGGGCUUCUCUGGAUUCUCCUGUAAGAAUGCCUUGCUUGAUGAUUGGCUAUCUCUUAUUCCUCUUGAUGUAGCCACCUCUCUAGGACCAAAGAACAUAUCCUCUAUACAGUUAUUCUCCCCAAACAAACUCAUAUUCCCUAAUCCCUGUAUAUAUCGUCUGACCCUGACAAAUGACACUGUGUGACAGUGAAGAAUUCCUCUCUUACAAGCCACAGAACAUUGAUCCUUCUGCAGAUUUAGAUCCAGUUUUCUUAAUCUGCUUCUUACCUUGAAUAUUGAUUUUCUAAUGUACUAGUUGAUGUACUGUAACUUGUGUCCUUAUCCUGUUCCAAAGGUAGAAUGUGCAAUAGGGAUGGAGAGAGAAGGAUGCAGUGAUGAUCCACUCUGGCUCUUGGCUCAGUUGACUCAGUCCUGUUUGAUUCUUUAGAGACUAACAAAUUUAUUAGAGCAUAAGCUUAGUCUCUAAGGUGCCACAAGUACUCCUGUUAUUUUUGCGGAUACAGACUAACACGGCUGCUACUCUGAAACCUGUUU